This 253-nucleotide ribosomal RNA is filed under the name uncultured bacterium. RNAcentral's name for it is "partial 16S ribosomal RNA". It matches the Rfam family "Bacterial small subunit ribosomal RNA", at positions 524 to 776 of the family's 1533-position model. The record is from RNAcentral.
UACGAAGGGGGCUAGCGUUGUUCGGAAUUACUGGGCGUAAAGCGCGCGCAGGCGGUCCUUCAAGUCAGAGGUGAAAGCCCAGAGCUCAACUCUGGAAUGGCCUUUGAGACUAGAGGACUUGGGUACGGGAGAGGUGAGUGGAAUUCCGAGUGUAGAGGUGAAAUUCGUAGAUAUUCGCAAGAACACCAGUGGCGAAGGCGGCUCACUGGCCCGGUACUGACGCUGAGGUGCGAAAGCGUGGGGAGCAAACAGG